Molecule: ribosomal RNA, 497 nt
Filed under: uncultured bacterium
Lineage: Bacteria
Description: partial 16S ribosomal RNA
Rfam family: Bacterial small subunit ribosomal RNA
Source: RNAcentral
GAUGAACGCUGGCGGCGUGCCUAAUACAUGCAAGUCGAGCGAACGGACGAGAAGCUUUCUUCUCUGAUGUUAGCGGCGGACGGGUGAGUAACACGUGGAUAACCUACCUAUAAUACUGGGAUAACUUCGGGAAACCGUAUCUAAUACCGGAUAAUAUUUUGAACCGCAUGGUUCAAGAGUUAAAGACGGUCUUGCUGUCACUUAUAGAUGGAUCCGCGCUGCAUUAGCUAGUUGGUAAGGUAACGGCUUACCAAGGCAACGAUGCAUAGCCGACCUGAGAGGGUGAUCGGCCACACUGGAACUGAGACACGGUCCAGACUCCUACGGGAGGCAGCAGUAGGGAAUAUUCCGCAAUGGGCGAAAGCCUGACGGAGCCACGCCGCGUGAGUGAUGAAGGUCUUCGGAUCGUAAAACUCUGUUAUUAGGGAAGAACAUAUGUGUAAGUAACUGUGCACAUCUUGACGGUACCUAAACAGAAAGCCCCGGCUAACUACGUG